AACGAACGCUGGCGGCAGGCUUAACACAUGCAAGUCGAACGCCCCGCAAGGGGAGUGGCAGACGGGUGAGUAACGCGUGGGAAUCUACCCAGAUCUUCGGAACAACUGAGGGAAACUUCAGCUAAUACCGGAUACGCCCUACGGGGGAAAGAUUUAUCGGAUCUGGAUGAGCCCGCGUUGGAUUAGCUAGUUGGUGAGGUAAUGGCUCACCAAGGCGACGAUCCAUAGCUGGUCUGAGAGGAUGAUCAGCCACACUGGGACUGAGACACG
RNAcentral lists this ribosomal RNA (270 nucleotides) under uncultured bacterium. RNAcentral's name for it is "partial 16S ribosomal RNA". It matches the Rfam family "Bacterial small subunit ribosomal RNA", at positions 29 to 328 of the family's 1533-position model. The record is from RNAcentral.